Non-coding RNA from Electrophorus electricus (electric eel), 3948 nucleotides. NCBI's taxonomy places the organism in Eukaryota, Metazoa, Chordata, Actinopteri, Gymnotiformes, Gymnotidae. The record is from RefSeq and is a predicted model, not a curated record.
UCCUUGCACGUUGAUGUAUUCUGGACCACAGCUCCUCUCUGAUGACCUCAGACUCAGGGGUCUCGCGUGGGGUUUGGAGCAUGGGUUAAUCUGAGCUGUGGAGAGUUGGCUGCCCCUUUGUUCUGCUAUACGGAGGCUUCUCGGACUCCGCCUUGCUGGCUGGAGAUCUCCCUGCAUGGUGGCAGUCUGGAGAACUCUAGAGUGUUAACCAGUCUGCCACAGUAGCGCUAACGAUGAUCUGUACAUCAGCACCAUGGGAUUCCAGUCUGGCCUCCUGGGUUGACUGGGUUUACGGGACUUGGCCGUGGCAUCGGUUUGGCUCUCCCUGGUUGUUCUCUCGUGACGUUUCGCGGACAGCUUGGACUGAGUCAUUGCUGGUGGCUUGGUUACAUCGGACUGAGAAACAUUCACAUAGGAAGUUGUCGGUUGCUACAUUAUUUUAAAAAUAUUUUCUCCUUGCGAGAAAGUUGCAAAAGGCCAGAGGCAAAUAUAAGAGAAUACACUGGAAAUGAAGGAAUGAAGUCAGUCGUUACUUGUGGCUAAAUUGUCCUGGAACAGGAAGCAGCCAUUACACUCAAAACCCUUCAGUUUAUCGUAGCUUUGUGUCUGUGUCUCUGCUGCUUGCGUACAGAGAAGACCGGUUCUGUGUUUACAUAUCUGCUGUUGUGGAACUGUAACGGUGAUCACAGUCCUCCCUCCCUCUCUCUCUCCCUCUCUCCCUCUCUCUCUCUUUCUCAGUAUAUCUCUCUUGUACACAUGUACUUCGUGGCCUGUCGUUAGCAAUGGAUAAUACACGAACACGUUUGUUCCUGCCGCUGUUCGGCCUCAGACCCUGCCAUCGCUCAGGGCCGUGGGGUGGGCCGGCCCGUUGCUAUGAAAACCACACAAACCUUACCCCUGGAAACGGGCGAUAAUGCAGGCAGAUGGGCGGGGCUGGCAGAGACUUCCUGAGUUCAGAUCCAGCAGGUUUAGGGUUGGCUGCCACACUGUUACUGUCUGCCAAAAAGCUUUUCUUCUUGACUCUUUAUUGCGACCCUUUCCGAGUCUGUGGACUGGUCCACUCUGGGCUCUGCUGUCCUAACUCCUGUCUCCUAAAGGCCAGAGGAUGUGACUUCUAAACACAGCUCGAUUCCCACCUUUCACAAAUCAUGUAUGUACUGUGACAAGAAAUGAAAGUGCAUCAUUGGUGGGUGACGCAUGUACUGGAGUAAAUUCUGGAUUACAGGCCAACAUGGCAUCUGGCUCCUAAUUUCCUGUGAUCUGCGGUGCUCCACUGCGUCGUGUCCAUCAGGUGUUGUGACUGUGGAGACAGUCUCCAUUUAUCACCCUUGAAAGGUUCCUUUUAUGUCCUCUGAACAUUUUCCUGUGCUUCUGGGAGAUUUGGGGUUGCAGGGAACGUCCUUCUUGAAGCUUCUGUAUAAUCGGACCAAACCAGUGGAAAGUGACACACGUCCGCUGCUGUCAUGACAGUCAUGGCUGUGGUUUUGCGAUGGCCUGCCUGUGUGUGUGUAUUUGAAUACAAGGGCAAAGAACAGCUCAAGUUUUGCUGACUCACGUGGUCAUGAGGACGCUUCUGUCUGUUCACCAAGUCACCACGACAACCGCAUUGUUUACUUCUCCGAGAAACGGGCAAUUGAAGAGGAGUGUUUAUUGAUCCGGGUGGCAGGGUGGGGCAGUAACCCCUGCUCCUGUGUGGUUGUCUGAGUCACAGGGCUGGCUUGUGUAAGGAAAACACCAUGACAGUAACAGAAAUCCUAGUGCUCAACCUUGACUCUUAGCUUUCGACAGUCUGUAGAUGCACCAGAUGAAAUAAAAUGUGUUUUACUCUGAUAAGUUUAAGUAAUAUGCAGAUAUACAUUGUACUCAUUAUACCUUACAAAUGAGUUAUAAAACAAUAAAAGUUUUUAUCUGUAGUAAUGAAAUUGCAUCUGAUGGAAAUAUACACAGUGUGGCUGAAAGGUAGAGAUGAUUUGUUAAACAUCAGUGACAGUCAUCCAGCCUCAGUGAGGAGACACUUAGUCGCUGUACACCUGGAGGCUUUUGUGUAAUGACCGUGCAGAUACCUAGGCCAUUAUUUUUGAAUAUGAAAACACCACCUUGAUUUUAAAAAAGAGCUCAAUUCAAGGCGUGACAAAUAAAACAAAUAAACCUUUGUUUGUUGACAGUCCUCUGCAUAAUGUGGUGUGAUUCGAUAUCUCUGUGAAGUGGCAUUAGGCAUUGAAGAGUCAGAAACCUUCUUUCCUCAUGGAAAACCCGGCGUGGGCCGCGUUUGGCUCCCAUGUCUCUCUCUAGCAAGAUAGCUGGACUGUUCUUUGUUGGCACUGCAGCCUAUAAGAAGCAGCCGCUGGUGUGACAUCACCUAUCCGCCUCCUGCUGUGUGCAUGGACGGGGACAGAGAUGCUAGUCUGUCAGGACAUGAGUACGUUUGUUUGUUUGUUACCCUAAAAUGUUUUUUUUGUUCUGUAUGUGAUCAUUUAAAUGUGUAAUAAAAUAUUUACUUGUGACUUAUAUAUUUAGUCGUGGAGACCUAAUUUGAAUGGGUGAAUAAAUUUGCCAUCGUCUGGAGAGCUACAGAUCACUUUUAUGAUCGCUGUAUAUCGAAAUCCUGAGCUUGUCUAAUAUUCCCUGUCCAUCAUCACCCUGAAUUAUUACAGUGUUUUCUUAACUGUUCAGUUACUGGUAUGUUUUGAUGUCUUUCAUCUGGUGGAUUGUAAUAUUUUAACUCUAAUCAUUUGUACAUGUAGUUUUGAACACCACCAUGAUACCUGGGAUACCGCCGUGAUGUAAAUACUGGGGAUACCUGGAAGGGUAAAUACCUGGGAUACCACCGCAAUGCACGCAAAGAGCAAAAGGCGAAUCAUCCAGGCCCCUGCCCCACUCUGCUCUGGCUGUGGCUUUAACCGUGUUCUUCAUCGGGUCAGGGGUUCUCUGAGUUUUUCGUCUGCUUCCAGAAACUGAGAGUCAUGACGGGCCCGGUGCAGGUGUGUUAGAGAAGUGUGCCAACAUCACACAGACACACACACAGACACACACACUCCUCUUUUGUCACAGCUGUUGCUAUGAAUACACUUCAUGUGGCUUUUUCAUGGGCUUUGAAGUUUGAGUGUUUGUCAUCACGGCCGCCAUGAUCCGUUCUGUUCUCAUCUUCUGGGUCUUUUGUUUAGAGACAAUAUUUUGUGCCCAUAUGACACUGUUUUAUAUUGACUUUGUGUGAUUGAUUGAAAUGUCCGAGACCAACGUGUGACGUGUACUCAGUCCUGACUGAUCCGGUGCGUGCUGGCGUUUGAGGACAAGCUGUAGGAUUGUGUUAGGACAGACAGCUUCAUCAAUCUCAUCUCAGUGUCCUGUCCAUCCUGUUGAAGUCCCCGUUCAGAUCUCUCACUCUCUCUCGUAAUGAGGCAUUUCUUGUAGAGCCAGUGACAGGAAAUGAACUUUGGUGGGGGAGUGAAUGAAUCAAAUAUGGAGGUGAGAGAUUGGAUAAGAAGGAGUGGGGAGAGAGAAUGCAUGCAUCAAUAUUAGCUGAAGGUUCAUUAGGCUGUCUGGACUAAUCUUUAGGACAGCAGACUACAGGCUCUGGUUUGCUGUGUGUGCGCGCGCAUGUGUGUCAGGCAUUCUGGUUGGGGGUGUGUGUGUCAGUCAGUCAUGCAUUACAUGCUGGCUGACGGUUGACCUUUACCACUCCGCCAACCUUCUAAAAGACUGAGAAGCUUUGUUCCGUGGUGGCCCUCGUCCUGGCCCGGUCACGUCGGACGGACACGGCGAAGUUUCUGCCUCCCUGUAAAUGUUUUUAAGAGUUCUUCUGGAUUUUCUCAAGUUUGUUUCCUAAAGUUCUUUCCUGCACCUUUUUAGUCUGAAUUUGCCACACUACGUGUGAUGUUGACCUGAAACAGGGCGUGCUGUGCUUUGUGAUGGGCCACACGUCCUAACCUAACCAGGCGGACCCGUGUG